UCCUGCCUCAGCCUCCCCGAGUAGCUGGGAUUACAGGCGACUGCCGCCACCACGCCCGGCUAAUUUUUUAAGUAUUUUUAGUAGAGACGGGUUUCACCGCGUUAGCCAGCAUGGUCUUGAUCUCCUGACCUCGUGAUCUGCCCUCCUCGGCCUCCCAAAGUGCUGGGAUUACAGGCGUGAGCCACCGCGCCCGGCCGACCCCUGUAGGGUUUUAAAGGAGAGAGGCAGCAUCCCAGAGGGCAAAAAGGGCUUCAUUCAUGGAGAAAGCAACUGAGCUGGGCAGAGCACAGACGGAAUUUGAAUUGGAGGCCAGAGGCAAAGGGAACUCCAAGUGGAAGAAGAAACGGCAUGAAAAAAGGGAUUGAGAAGGAAAAGGACAAGAUGGUUUGGAGAGAGAGCAACUUCAGCCUGGAAAAGCAGAAAUGAGAUGCGGCCAAGAAAAAGACUCCAGCCCAGCCUGCCUUGGUUCUAACCCUGACUGUUACUUAACCUCUUUCUGGCUCAGUCAAGAAACUUGAGCACUGCAAGAUGAUCAUGUGGAAUACCUACUUCAAACGGAUGUUAAGAGGAGUAAAAGUGUUCUUGUUUCUAAGUGCUUGAAAUGCAGCUGGCAUAUAAUUAAGCUAUGCAAAUAUUUACUUUUUUUUUUUGAAAUGCUGAGUUUACUGAUCACUCUAAUUUUUACAUAUGUGUGUCAUUACAGAAGAUUCAGGCUUUAGCGAUGACUGGAGGGUCAUUCGCUGGAAAGAAUUUCAUCAGUUGGAACUAAAUCAUGGUGAGCAAAAGAAAGUCUACCUAAGUGAUAUGGUUUGGCUCUGUGUCCACAUCCAGAUCUCAUCUCGAAUUGUAAUUCCCACAAGUUGUGGGACGGAGGUGAUUGAAUCAUGGGGGCAGGUGCCCCAAUGCUGUUCUGGUGAUAAUGAGUGAGUCCCCAAGAGAACUGAUGAUUUUAUAAGGGGCUCUUCCCCCUUCACUUUCUCUUCUCUCUCCUGCUGCCUUGUGAAGCAGGUGCCUGCUUCGCCUUCUGCCAUGAUUGUGUUUCCUGAGGCCUCCCCAGCCAUGCAGAACUGUGAGUCAAUUAAAACUCUUUUCUUUAUAAAUUACUUAGUCUCUGGCAGUUCUUUAUAGCAGUGUGAGAAUGGACUAAUACACUAAGUUACUUCCUGAGUAGACCAAUGGCCUCCAUUCCCUCUGUCAAACAUACGACACUGACCCUGAAGGUAGCUUGGGCUGGCUGGGGAUGCACUCUCUGUAUGGCCCUGGUGCAUCACCUCCCCCACCCACUUCCACCCUCCCUGCUAAUGUGGAGUGUGUGUAGAGUGCACAGUUACAAUGAGGCCGUUGUGACAGUCCUGGUCACUGUUUUGAUCACAUGAUUUUUUAUUUUGUAGAUGAAUGAAAUACAAGUACAACAAGAAAAAGUUUCUGUAAAAACUAAGGUGAUUGCUUUAGAAUAACUCCAUAAAGGUCAUUCUGAAAAACAAUUGCUGCAACUCUAAAAGAUGGGGAAAUCUAGAAGCAUUCUGCACUUUGAUCAUGCACUGGGGCUGCAGUUUGUGCUUGAAGGAUUACCAAGAACUCCAAUUGGUGGGCUCUCAUUUUUUUAAAAAAGUUCCCAUUGCUAUUUUGAAGUGAAAAAAUAUAUAAUAAAAUCUACGUGAAUAUCAUCCCCUUAACUUCUACAAUCAACUAACAAAUCCAAAUUGGACUCGACAAGAGAGUUUCUACUGUAAUUAUAUGAAAAUAGUUGCUCUUGAUAACAAUUGAGUCUUGUUUUUUCUUUAUAACAGAGCUAUUGUCACUACUUUAAAAUAUGAGCAGAAUGGGGUAUGGAUCAGGUCUAUAAAGCUUUCUGUUUAUGUAUUUUGAAUAUACAUAGUUAUUAUUGCCUAUUAUCUACAUCAAAAUGGAGAGUUUAUUUGGUGAUGUCUUUAUCUUCUCAAGAUUAUUUACAAUUAGAGUGACUCCAGCAACUACUGAAGCUAACUCCACUGCACUUUCUCUAGUGGCAGCAUACAUUUCAACCAUUACAACAACCCAGUCUUUGCUGGUGCUUGAGAAUUGAAUCAAGCUAUUUGCCAGGAAACAAGAGAAUUUCAGCAGGAAAAGAGAAUGUUCACAAUGUCAGUGAUGAAUGAGGAGACCAUAGAGCAGGCAAACAAAAGAAAGCAGCAGGCCUGCUGGAGCUCCCUAUCUGAAGGCUUGGGUUUCCAGCACUCUAAAGCAGGUUCAGCAAACCACAGCCCAUGGACCACAUUUGGCCCUCACCUUGUAUCCAUAAAUAAAGUUUUAUUGAAAAGCAAUCAUGCACAUUUAUUCACAUAUAGCCUGUGGCUGCUUUUGCUCUACAAUGGUGGAGCUGAGUAGUUGCAAGAAAGACCCCGUAAAUAGAAAUAAAAGUGAACAAAAUAUGUAUUGUCUGACCUGUUACAAAAAAAAGUUUGUUAACCCUGGCUCUAAAGAAUCCAUUCUAUACAAGGCAGAGCUCUAUUAUGAGGUAUGACUGUAACUGUGUUUUAAAAAAGUGUUCUGGAACCUUGCCACAGUAGAUUAAUUCCUCAAGGUUAUCCCCAACAAUGAGAGGCAAGCCAAGUGAUUAACUAAGCCACUGACACUGUCCUAUGACACAAAUUUCUCCUCUAUCUCCCCUUCAGUAGUGCCUCACUUUGGAGUCGGCUGAGAAGAUCAUUCCAGACGGGAGUUUUGACACUGUACAAAUGCACUGUCUUCACAUCUACGCUGACACCCCUGCCUUUCUACCUGCAGGUGUCUGUGGCUUACAAGCUGGUGCCUCCCACAGACCCUGUAGUUUGGAGCUAAUGAAGAGCUGAGAAGGUAGGUUUGGCUGUGACUAGAGAGCAGGAACAACCUCUCCACAGGUCAUUCCUUUCUCCAGGCAUGGAACCGUCUUACAAACCUGGGCUGAGGGUUCAUUGCCUCUAAAUGUAGAAGCAAAGACUAAAUUCAAAAGGCAAGAACUACUUAAUGAAAACAGAAACUCCACUACAUACGUGUUUCUUCUGCCUAUCCCAUGGAGUCAGAGAGGUGGUGGAUCUAGCAGAGACAGCUGUAGACCAGGGGUCAGAAGACUUGGGUCCUCAUCCUGAUUCUACCACUAACUAGCUGCAUGACCUCAGACAAGUGACUUGUCUGCCCUAGACCAGGCAGGGUUGGACAGUUAGCCCCAAAGUCCCUUCUAAUGCUAAAAUUCUAAGAUUGUACCCUGCCAGCCUUAGGAGGCUAUGCUGUUACUACCAGUGCCUGGCACAUAGCAGGCACUAUAUAAAUGUUAAUUAUCAUUAUUAUUAUGUAAAGGCACAAUGCAUGCCUUUAUAUGUAAACGUGGAUUCUUCCCCAUUAUAACAAUGAAUGAUCUAGAAGCAAAUUAUAACAACAGGGUAUAAUCAUAAGCAAUGAAGACUGUAAUUCCUACCGGUCUUCUUCUCAGCACAAAUGAAUAAAGCUUUUCCCCCCUCCCCCUCCAGUAAUUGUUGGAGGUGGUUCUUGGAUCCAAAUCCCAAGCCCUUCCAGAAUAUCUGCAAUUGGAGAACGGGUCAUUCAAUCAAAAGACUGUAGACUGUACUGUGAUGUAAAUUUUUUUCUUCCCCACUGAAAAUCCCAGGCCAGGCAUGGUGGCUAACACUUAUAAUCCCAGCACUUUGGGAGGCCUAGGUGGGCAGAUCACUUGAGCUCUGAGCAAUACAAUGAGACCUCGUCUCUACUAAAAAUUCAAAAACAAUUAGCCUGGUGUGGUGGCACAUGCCUGUAGUCCCAGCUAUUCAGGGGGCUGGGGGCUGAGGUGGGAGGAUCACUUGAGUCUGAGAGGCCAAGGCUGCAGUGAGCCCUGAUUGCACCACUGAACUCCAGCCUGGGUGACAGAAGAAGACCUUGUCUCAGAAAAAAACAAACAAGCAAACAAACAAAAAACUCAAUGCAGGUUGGGAAUGAGAACUGGGAUUCAGGAUUUGGAGUUUCCUAAUAUAUUUUGCCUUCUUCCCAUGAUAUAUACAGUGUAUAAACCUAGUAUGAGGAAGGAACAGUUGUCUAUCAAAAUGGUAAAUGGCAUUCAGUCUUAAGUUUCUAAAUAAAGUUAGCAAUUAUGGGUAUGGCCAAAUGUGGGUGCUUGCCAUAACCUCUGGGGCCUCACCAUUUCCAGCUACCAGGAUCUGCAACUUUUUGCCUGAGGGUUUUCUCAGAAGACACAGAAACUGUUCUGCCUAUAAGCCUUGAAGUGCCAGGGAAUUAACACCUACCUUCCCACAGCCCUCCCCACAGUGACUGAUAGCAUUGAUAACGAUACCCAAGCUUCACCCCUCAGGUGGGAUAACUGAGCUGCUUGUUCUAUACCAUGUUCUAGAGUUUCUCCCAUGAGUUUAGGUUCUAAUCAUCCACAUGUAAAUUGCUUGAUAAGAAACCUUCAUUGACUCCUUGUCUCACUUCCCCUCCCCUUAUUUGUUUUGUUUGCACCUUUCAAAUAAACUAUUUUCAUUCAAAUC
Molecule: long non-coding RNA, 4496 nt
Filed under: Homo sapiens (human)
Lineage: Eukaryota; Metazoa; Chordata; Mammalia; Primates; Hominidae
Description: HSALNT0086774
Source: RNAcentral